RNAcentral lists this ribosomal RNA (367 nucleotides) under uncultured microorganism. RNAcentral describes it as "bacterial SSU rRNA". It matches the Rfam family "Bacterial small subunit ribosomal RNA", at positions 346 to 704 of the family's 1533-position model. The record is from RNAcentral.
GCGCAGCAGGCGCGAAUCGUUCACAAUGGGCGCAAGCCUGAUGGCGCGACGCCGCGUGUGGGAUGGAGGCCUUCGGGUUGUAAACCACUGUCACAGGGGAAGAAAGGCACGGAUGCUAACAUCGUCCGUGUUUGACGUUACCCUGAGAGGAAGCCACGGCUAACUCCGUGCCAGCAGCCGCGGUAAUACGGAGGUGGCAAGCGUUGUUUGGAAUUACUGGGCGUAAAGGGUGCGCAGGCGGUCUGUUGUGUUCGAUGUGAAAUCCCCCGGCUCACCCGGGGAACUGCAUCGAAAACUGACAGACUUGAGUGCAGGAGAGGAGAGCGGAAUUUCCGGUGUAGCGGUGAAAUGCGUAGAUAUCGGAAGG